This 1455-nucleotide ribosomal RNA is filed under the name uncultured prokaryote. RNAcentral describes it as "partial 16S ribosomal RNA". It matches the Rfam family "Bacterial small subunit ribosomal RNA". The record is from RNAcentral.
GAGUUUGAUCCUGGCUCAGAACGAACGCUGGCGGCAGGCCUAACACAUGCAAGUCGAACGAUAAACCACCUUCGGGUGGUGGAAGAGUGGCGCACGGGUGAGUAACCCGGCGGGACCUACCAUUUUGUGGGGGAUAACUAUUGGAAACGAUAGCUAAUACCGCAUACGCCCUUAGGGGGAAAGAUUUAUCGCAGAAUGAUGGACCCGCGUCUGAUUAGCUAGUUGGUGAGGUAAGAGCUCACCAAGGCGACGAUCAGUAGCUGGUUUGAGAGGAUGAUCAGCCACACUGGAACUGAGACACGGUCCAGACUCCUACGGGAGGCAGCAGUGGGGAAUAUUGCACAAUGGACGAAAGUCUGAUGCAGCCAUGCCGCGUGAGUGAAGAAGGCCCUAGGGUUGUAAAACUCUUUCAGAUGUGAAGAUGAUGACGGUAACAUCAGAAGAAGCACCGGCUAACUCCGUGCCAGCAGCCGCGGUAAUACGGAGGGUGCUAGCGUUGUUCGGAUUUACUGGGCGUAAAGGGCGCGUAGGCGGAUGUAUCAGUCAGAGGUGAAAGCCCCGGGCUUAACCUGGGAAUUGCCUUUGAUACUGUACAUCUAGAGUCCGAGAGAGGGUGGUGGAACUCCAAGUGUAGAGGUGAAAUUCGUAGAUAUUUGGAAGAACACCAGUGGCGAAGGCGGCCACCUGGCUCGGUACUGACGCUGAGGCGCGAAAGCGUGGGGAGCAAACAGGAUUAGAUACCCUGGUAGUCCACGCCGUAAACGAUGUGUGCUAGUUGUCAGGCAGCUUGCUGUUUGGUGACGAGCUAACGCAUUAAGCAUUCCGCCUGGGGAGUACGGUCGCAAGACUAAAACUCAAAGAAAUUGACGGGGGCCCGCACAAGCGGUGGAGCAUGUGGUUUAAUUCGAAGCAACGCGCAGAACCUUACCAGCUCUUGACAUCCCGAUCGCGGUUACCGGAGACGUUUCCUUCAGCUAGGCUGGAUCGGUGACAGGUGCUGCAUGGCUGUCGUCAGCUCGUGUCGUGAGAUAUUGGGUUAAGUCCCGCAACGAGCGCAACCCUCGCCUUUAGUUGCCAGCAUUUAGUUGGGCACUCUAAUGGGACUGCCGGUGUUAAGCCGGAGGAGGGUGGGGAUGACGUCAAGUCCUCAUGGCCCUUAUGCCCAGGGCUACACACGUACUACAAUGGCCAGUACAAAGGGCAGCCAACUCGCGAGAGUGAGCUAAUCCCAAAAAGCUGGUCCCAGUUCGGAUUGGAGUCUGCAACUCGACUCCAUGAAGUUGGAAUCGCUAGUAAUCGCGAAUCAGCAUGUCGCGGUGAAUACGUUCUCGGGCCUUGUACACACCGCCCGUCACACCACGAAAGUCAGUUAUACUAGAUGUCGUUGGGCCAACCAGCAAUGGAGGCAGACGCCGACGGUAUAACUGGUGAUUGGGGUGAAGUCGUAACAAGGUA